This 240-nucleotide long non-coding RNA is filed under the name Elaeis guineensis (African oil palm). RNAcentral describes it as "long non-coding RNA (EGUI_LNC080639)". The record is from RNAcentral. Lineage: Eukaryota; Viridiplantae; Streptophyta; Magnoliopsida; Arecales; Arecaceae.
UAGCAAAGGUAACAUGCCACGUCCAAACAUAGUGCUUCUUUAUGGAUGGGUAAGCUAGGAUUGGUUCCACAGCAACCAAGUUAAGGAAAGAACUAAUGACUUCAGAUGCUAUCUGUAAGCAUAUCUUUACCCACACAAAGUGUACUGAUCAAUAUGUUAAAUUUCUAAUACAAGUUUAAUGUUGUUUUCCUUUAAAAAAGUAACGCUUAUAAACAAUUAAGAGUAUUGAAAAAUCCACCA